AAUAUAUCCGGAAGCAACUGUCAUGGCUGCUGUCAGUGAGGGCCCGUAAUGGAGAUCGAGUCAAGGGUUGCCCAGGGACACUUAAGAGCCUUCGGCUUCAAGGAGGCCUCUCAAAGGACAAAGGAUGAGACUGCCUGGCGGCAGAGUGCCCCCCACAAUCGUAGGAACUGUGUCGCCGCGCUUCCCGUUAACUUGCCGCUAAGUUUUUCUAGAAAAGUCGCCCUUCUUGCCAGGGGUGUCCUAUAGACUUUGUCAUGGAGUGAAACAGAAACAAAUGUGAGUUAAUCAUUAACAUUUCCUAGUGGUUAAAAUUACUUUUUAAGCGCUUAACUGUGUAUUUUUUAGAUUGAAGAUUUCAAAUGAAAUUUUGAUUUGACUGAAAUAUUUAAUAUGUGAUGAGUUGAUAUUAAAAUACAGAAGAUUACUAUUUUUAUAGAAACAAUAAUGUAGAAACUAAUAUUUGAAGCAGGUUUACUCCACAUACUGUGUUAUAAUUUAAAUUUUCACUUAAACUCUCAAAAUCAGAAGAGCUGACCUAGUAAGGCUUAAACCUCUAAAACUUGUGGUUUUAACAAGGCUUAAUAUACGUAGUUAUAAUAGUUUUUAAAAAAAUUGUUAUCAAGUUCCUCAGGU
This 633-nucleotide long non-coding RNA is filed under the name Homo sapiens (human). Its description in RNAcentral is "non-protein coding ENTPD1-AS1:22". Lineage: Eukaryota; Metazoa; Chordata; Mammalia; Primates; Hominidae. The record is from RNAcentral.